GCCCACGUGGCACAGUGGUUAAAGUGCUUGGCUGCUAACUCAGAGGUUGGUGGUUCAAACCCACCAGUCUGCU
RNAcentral lists this transfer RNA (73 nucleotides) under Loxodonta africana (African savanna elephant). It matches the Rfam family "tRNA". From Rfam's summary of the family: Transfer RNA (tRNA) molecules are approximately 80 nucleotides in length. Their secondary structure includes four short double-helical elements and three loops (D, anti-codon, and T loops). Further hydrogen bonds mediate the characteristic L-shaped molecular structure. tRNAs have two regions of fundamental functional importance: the anti-codon, which is responsible for specific mRNA codon recognition, and the 3' end, to which the tRNAs corresponding amino acid is attached (by aminoacyl-tRNA synthetases). tRNAs cope with the degeneracy of the genetic code in two manners: having more than one tRNA (with a specific anti-codon) for a particular amino acid; and 'wobble' base-pairing, i.e. permitting non-standard base-pairing at the 3rd anti-codon position. The record is from Rfam by way of RNAcentral. Lineage: Eukaryota; Metazoa; Chordata; Mammalia; Proboscidea; Elephantidae.